AAUCCCAACGGCAAUGGAGCUCGCCAAAACCGCCUGCUAGUGAUUCUUUCCUAACGUUAACUAAAACACUAAAAGGCUGAUGGCUCCUACUUUUCU
This 96-nucleotide non-coding RNA is filed under the name Oscillatoria sp. RNAcentral describes it as "Fluoride sequence". It matches the Rfam family "Fluoride riboswitch aptamer (crcB RNA motif)". RNAcentral also lists the same sequence under 1 other name. Lineage: Bacteria; Bacillati; Cyanobacteriota; Cyanophyceae; Oscillatoriales; Oscillatoriaceae. The record is from RNAcentral.